Molecule: non-coding RNA, 914 nt
Organism: Vicugna pacos (alpaca)
Lineage: Eukaryota; Metazoa; Chordata; Mammalia; Artiodactyla; Camelidae
Source: RefSeq, a predicted model, not a curated record
AGGGUAAAUAAAGGCGCUGUGCCCUGUAAUUAUACAAACUGAACCAUCUCAGGAGGUAUUUAAACUAUUUGGGGGUUGCAGGUGGAGGAGGGUUUCUUGGCGGUAGUUGUUCAUUGAAAUCUCUUACAGGAUUUUUUUUUUUUUGAAACCUAGUCUGUGAUGCAAAACCUGCUGUGCUAAAUUAUGAACCAAAGGCUUUGGGGUGGGAACAAUCAAUCAAAAUACCUGGGGUAGUGUGUAAUGUGCAUGCUCUUGUCAGCAUGAACAGGCUGCCCCUGAACACAGUCCCCCAGCAGGUUAAAUAAAUAUGAUACUGUAGACAAACCGACAGGAUCACACGGCUGCAUCAAUCAGCUGUUGAUAAAAUACAAUCUUCCUUUAAUACACGCUGAGAAAGUUAUUUAACACUUACAAAACCUAUAUCCAUUUCUUGUCCUCUUUUUUUUUUUUUUUUUAAGUCUUCGAAAGUCUAACUCUUUUAAAGGACGCGGGAGAAGACGAUGCGCUAUCCCGGGGGAAGGAAGAUUUGAUGGCGCCAAAGAAACAGCGCCUUCUCACACAGUUUCAUGGCUCUUUCACUAGACAGAAGUUUUCGCAGCAGCUGUUCUGCACACGGUGAGAGGGUGCAAACUCAGAGGAAGACCCAAGGUGGAAGCGUGUAUGGGACACAACACAGAUAAUAGGGGGAGCAUCCCCGUUCUCACCGAAGUCCAGAAGGAAGCAGAGCCCGGGGGAGAGGAAACGUGCAGACUUCCUUCUUGUAACCGAACUGGCAAAGUAGCAAAACUGGGCGGAGGCGGCGGCAGGGGCCAGUUCCCUGGGACACCGGUCGCUGCGUUGGCUUGACUCUAGGAGGGGGGCGGAGGGAGGGUCGUGGGGGCUCGGGGCCCGGGGUGGGGGUGGGGGGCUCGGCG